This 66-nucleotide transfer RNA is filed under the name Amblema plicata. RNAcentral describes it as "Amblema perplicata tRNA-Leu". Lineage: Eukaryota; Metazoa; Mollusca; Bivalvia; Unionida; Unionidae. The record is from RNAcentral.
AGAGAGUUAGUAUAAUAAAUACCAUUGACUUAGGAUCAAUAAAUAAGUCCAAACACUUACUCACUA